This 869-nucleotide long non-coding RNA is filed under the name Salvia miltiorrhiza (redroot sage). RNAcentral describes it as "long non-coding RNA (SMIL_LNC010232)". Lineage: Eukaryota; Viridiplantae; Streptophyta; Magnoliopsida; Lamiales; Lamiaceae. The record is from RNAcentral.
AUAGGGGUGUGCAUCGGUCGGUUCGGCCGGCCGACCGAUCGAAUUUUCACUAACCGACCGACCGAUCGGUGCUUAAAGAAACUAACCGAUCCGACCGAAUAUUGAAUCUUUAACCGGCCGAAAACCGAACCGAUCAAAUUUCGAUUUUCGACCGACCGAUACAAACCGACCGAAUUUAGCUGUUAAAGUCAAAAGCAAUGAAACAAGCAAUAAAUUCCCAUUCCUUCGAAUUCGAACUGCAAGCUAAAUCCUUAUCCAACCAAUAACUAAUAGCAAUAGCAAGCUAAUUUCAAUUUCAACAGCAAGCUAAAUUGAAUUCAGUUUGAACAGCAAGCUGAAUUGAAUUCAAUUUCAACAACCAAUAAUCAACAACAAGCAAUUCCUAUUUAGCGCACAGAGGAGGCGGCGCAGCGGAAGCGGAUUCAGAGGCGGGGCGGCGGGAGACAGAUCGGGGGCGCGUCGAACCGGGGGAGGCUGCCGGAGGCGCGUCGGACGCGGAGGAAGGGUAACACAGUCUGGAGGGCUUCUGUGGGAGGAGGCAGACACCUGAGAGUUGGAGACUUCAGUGGCUGGGUGGGGGAGGCGUGCCGGAGGUCUCGCCGGCUGGGGGCUAGGGGUGAGGGUGGCGAGUUCUGGGUCUGGGGGGUAGGGGGAGGCGCCGCAUGAGAGAGUUUAGAGAGAAGUGAGAUUAGGGUUAGGUAGUUAGCUUAAAGGUUAGGAAAAUUUAGAAAAAAAAAAUAUAAAUAUAUAUACUAUCGGUCGGUUCGGUUUUCGACCGACCAAAUUUGAAAAAACCGAACCGACCGAGAAAACCGAAUUUUCUAAAAAAAAUGGGCCGAACCGACCGACCAUAGCUAAAAAACCGACCG